Molecule: transfer RNA, 77 nt
Filed under: Planctomycetota bacterium
Lineage: Bacteria; Pseudomonadati; Planctomycetota
Description: Planctomycetes bacterium (marine metagenome) tRNA-Arg
Rfam family: tRNA
About the family: Transfer RNA (tRNA) molecules are approximately 80 nucleotides in length. Their secondary structure includes four short double-helical elements and three loops (D, anti-codon, and T loops). Further hydrogen bonds mediate the characteristic L-shaped molecular structure. tRNAs have two regions of fundamental functional importance: the anti-codon, which is responsible for specific mRNA codon recognition, and the 3' end, to which the tRNAs corresponding amino acid is attached (by aminoacyl-tRNA synthetases). tRNAs cope with the degeneracy of the genetic code in two manners: having more than one tRNA (with a specific anti-codon) for a particular amino acid; and 'wobble' base-pairing, i.e. permitting non-standard base-pairing at the 3rd anti-codon position.
Source: RNAcentral
GCACCCGUAGCUCAGUUGGAUAGAGUGACAGCCUCCGAAGCUGUAGGCCGCACGUUCGAAUCGUGCCGGGUGCACCA